GACGAACGCUGGCGGCGUGCUUAACACAUGCAAGUCGAGCGGUAAGGCCCUUUCGGGGGUACACGAGCGGCGAACGGGUGAGUAACACGUGGGUGACCUGCCCUCAGCUCUGGGAUAAGCCUGGGAGACCGGGUCUAAUACUGGAUAUGACUCCAUGACGCAUGUUGUGGGGUGGAAAGCCUUGUGCGGCUGAGGAUGGGCCCGCGGCCUAUCAGCUUGUUGGUGGGGGAUGGCCUACCAAGGCGACGACGGGUAGCCGGCCUGAGAGGGCGACCGGCCACACUGGGACUGAGACACGGCCCAGACUCCUACGGGAGGCAGCAGUGGGGAAUCUUGCGC
Molecule: ribosomal RNA, 339 nt
Filed under: uncultured bacterium
Lineage: Bacteria
Description: bacterial SSU rRNA
Rfam family: Bacterial small subunit ribosomal RNA
Source: RNAcentral